GAUGAACGCUGGCGGCGUGCUUAACACAUGCAAGUCGAACGGAAAGGCCAGUGCUUGCACUGGUACUCGAGUGGCGAACGGGUGAGUAACACGUGGGUGAUCUGCCCUGUACUUCGGGAUAAGCUUGGGAAACUGGGUCUAAUACCGGAUAGGACCACUUUUUGGAUAUUGUUGUGGAAAGCUUUUGCGGUAUGGGAUGAGGUCGCGGCGUAUCAGCUUGUUGGUGGGGUAAUGGCCUUCCAAGGCGUCGACGGGUAGCCGGCCUGUGAGGGUGUACGGGGACACUGGGGCUGAGAGACGGGCCAGACUCCUACGGGGGGGAGCAGUGGGGAAUAUUGUACAAUGGGGGCGAGCCUGAUGCAGCGACGCGGCGUGUGGGAUGAAGGCCUUCGGGUUGUAAACUCCUUUCGCGAGGGACGAAGCUUUUGUGUGACGGUACCUGGAGAAGAAGCACCGGCUAACUACGUG
RNAcentral lists this ribosomal RNA (468 nucleotides) under uncultured bacterium. RNAcentral's name for it is "partial 16S ribosomal RNA". It matches the Rfam family "Bacterial small subunit ribosomal RNA", at positions 28 to 507 of the family's 1533-position model. The record is from RNAcentral.